GUUCAUAACGUUCCACAAUCUCCAUACAUAAGUCACAUUCUCUAUAAUAAAUAAAACACAAAUUUGUCGCACGAGGAUUGGGAAGGCAACUGAAGCUGCUUACACAGGAGCGUAGUUUGCAAGCUCUGAGUGAAUUAAUCAAGCCAAGAUUUGUGCUUUGCAAGAACGCGAAUUUGGGUGUGUAUUGCGAAGCAAGAUUUGAUGAUUUGAUGCUUUGAAGAGUACCUUUGAUUCGUCUUCAAAGUGUUGUUGAAGAACUCUUAUGGGGCGUUUUGGUUUAAUCCAACAGAGCUUCGUUCUUUAUAAGCUUCAAGUGUAGAUGAAGGAGGCUUGAGAACUCUUUGAGAGAGAGGGCUUCCUUGCUUGAAGAGAGAGAGAGAGAGAGCUUCCUUGCUUGAAGAGUUUGUCUUGAAGAAAAUUUAUAUCUCCCGAAAUCCUUUUCUUUUAGGUUGAGGCCCUCUCAGGUCUUUUUUCAAUGCCACAUGGCAUAAUUUUAUUGGUUGAUAUUUAUUGACAUAAUCUUGUAUUUAUGAAAAGAUAUAUGAUGGGAUCUUGAAUUUAUGACAAGAUAUCUUGAAUAUCUUAUCUCAAGUGUCAACUUUUCAUUGGCCAAGAAAUAUAUGAAGGCUCAUUUAUUUUCCAUGUCA
This is a long non-coding RNA of Populus euphratica (Euphrates poplar), 647 nucleotides long. RefSeq lists it as uncharacterized. The record is from RefSeq and is a predicted model, not a curated record. NCBI's taxonomy places the organism in Eukaryota, Viridiplantae, Streptophyta, Magnoliopsida, Malpighiales, Salicaceae. The transcript is spliced from 2 exons.